This 301-nucleotide ribosomal RNA is filed under the name uncultured bacterium. RNAcentral describes it as "partial 16S ribosomal RNA". It matches the Rfam family "Bacterial small subunit ribosomal RNA", at positions 509 to 809 of the family's 1533-position model. The record is from RNAcentral.
CAGUAGCCACGGUAAUACGUAGGUGGCAAGCGUUGUCCGGAAUUAUUGGGCGUAAAGGGCUCGCAGGCGGUUUCUUAAGUCUGGUGUGAAAGCCCCCGGCUCAACCGGGGAGGGUCAUUGGAAACUGGGAAACUUGAGUGCAGAAGAGGAGAGUGGAAUUCCACGUGUAGCGGUGAAAUGCGUAGAGAUGUGGAGGAACACCAGUGGCGAAGGCGACUCUCUGGUCUGUAACUGACGCUGAGGAGCGAAAGCGUGGGGAGCGAACAGGAUUAGAUACCCCCGUAGUCCCUGUCUCUUAUAA